Molecule: ribosomal RNA, 253 nt
Filed under: uncultured bacterium
Lineage: Bacteria
Description: partial 16S ribosomal RNA
Rfam family: Bacterial small subunit ribosomal RNA
Source: RNAcentral
UACGUAGGGGGCUAGCGUUGUCCGGAAUCAUUGGGCGUAAAGAGCGCGUAGGCGGCCCGGUAAGUCCGCUGUGAAAGUCAAAGGCUCAACCUUUGAAUGUCAGCGGAUACUGCCGGGCUAGAGUCCGGAAGAGGCGAGUGGAAUUCCUGGUGUAGCGGUGGAAUGCGCAGAUAUCAGGAGGAACACCAACGGCGAAGGCAGCUCGCUGGGACGGUACUGACGCUGAGGCGCGAAAGCGUGGGGAGCGAACAGG